CAAUUAAAUCUCUUUUAUUAUGAAUUACUCAGUCUCAGGUAUUUCUUUAUAGCAGUGUAAGAACAGACUAAUACAGAGACUGAACCAAAGAUAAGUAUCUUAUGGUGAUCUUUUUGAUUUUUUUUUUUUUUUUUUUUUUUUUUUUUUUUUUUUUUUUUUUUUUUUUUUUUUUUUAUUUUUUCUU
Molecule: long non-coding RNA, 184 nt
Filed under: Macaca nemestrina (pig-tailed macaque)
Lineage: Eukaryota; Metazoa; Chordata; Mammalia; Primates; Cercopithecidae
Description: lncRNA (ENSMNEG00000045802.1)
Source: RNAcentral